AUGAGGGCCCCCACUCAGCUCCUGGGGUUGCUGCUGCUCUGGCUUAGAGGUGCCAAAUGUGACAUCCAGAUGACUCAGUCGCCAUACUUACCGUCAGCAUUUCUGGAAGACAGUGUCACAAUCACAUGCCAGUCAAGUCAGAACAUUUACAGCAAUUUAGCAUGGUAUCAGCAAAAACCAGGGGAACCUCCUAAGCAACUGAUCUAUUAUACAAAGAACUUGGCAGAUGGGACCCUCUCAAGGUUCAGUGGCAGUGGAUCUGGAACACAGUAUUCUCUCAAGAUCAGCAGCCUGCAGCCUGAAGACAUGGCAAGUUAUUACUGUCUACAGCACAAUAACUAUCCUCCCACAGUGAUUCAAGUCAUGAC
Non-coding RNA from Cricetulus griseus (Chinese hamster), 368 nucleotides. The record is from the annotation of a RefSeq genome assembly. NCBI's taxonomy places the organism in Eukaryota, Metazoa, Chordata, Mammalia, Rodentia, Cricetidae.